Molecule: ribosomal RNA, 739 nt
Filed under: Salmonella enterica
Lineage: Bacteria; Pseudomonadati; Pseudomonadota; Gammaproteobacteria; Enterobacterales; Enterobacteriaceae
Also listed under: 4 other names
Description: partial 23S ribosomal RNA
Rfam family: Bacterial large subunit ribosomal RNA
Source: RNAcentral
CCUUUAAUGUUUGAUGUUCUAACGUGGACCCGUAAUCCGGGUUGCGGACAGUGUCUGGUGGGUAGUUUGACUGGGGCGGUCUCCUCCUAAAGAGUAACGGAGGAGCACGAAGGUUGGCUAAUCCUGGUCGGACAUCAGGAGGUUAGUGCAAUGGCAUAAGCCAGCUUGACUGCGAGCGUGACGGCGCGAGCAGGUGCGAAAGCAGGUCAUAGUGAUCCGGUGGUUCUGAAUGGAAGGGCCAUCGCUCAACGGAUAAAAGGUACUCCGGGGAUAACAGGCUGAUACCGCCCAAGAGUUCAUAUCGACGGCGGUGUUUGGCACCUCGAUGUCGGCUCAUCACAUCCUGGGGCUGAAGUAGGUCCCAAGGGUAUGGCUGUUCGCCAUUUAAAGUGGUACGCGAGCUGGGUUUAGAACGUCGUGAGACAGUUCGGUCCCUAUCUGCCGUGGGCGCUGGAGAACUGAGGGGGGCUGCUCCUAGUACGAGAGGACCGGAGUGGACGCAUCACUGGUGUUCGGGUUGUCAUGCCAAUGGCACUGCCCGGUAGCUAAAUGCGGAAGAGAUAAGUGCUGAAAGCAUCUAAGCACGAAACUUGCCCCGAGAUGAGUUCUCCCUGAGACUUAGAGUCUCCUGAAGGAACGUUGAAGACGACGACGUUGAUAGGCCGGGUGUGUAAGCGCAGCGAUGCGUUGAGCUAACCGGUACUAAUGAACCGUGAGGCUUAACCUUACAACGCCGAAG